This 253-nucleotide ribosomal RNA is filed under the name uncultured bacterium. RNAcentral describes it as "partial 16S ribosomal RNA". It matches the Rfam family "Bacterial small subunit ribosomal RNA", at positions 524 to 776 of the family's 1533-position model. The record is from RNAcentral.
UACAGAGGUCUCAAGCGUUGUUCGGAUUCAUUGGGCGUAAAGGGUGCGUAGGCGGCGCGGUAAGUCGGGUGUGAAAUCUUGGAGCUUAACUCCGAAACUGCAUUCGAUACUGCCGGGCUUGAGGACUGGAGAGGAGACUGGAAUUUACGGUGUAGCGGUGAAAUGCGUAGAUAUCGGAAGGAAGACCAGUGGCGAAGGCGGGUCUCUGGACAGUUCCUGACGCUGAGGCACGAAGGUCAGGGGAGCAAACGGG